UUGUCUAUCAACAACUACAACGCUGAGCUUGUGAGGUUAGGGCAUCCACAAUGUAUCACUAAAGUGGGCAUUAUGCAAUAAAUGCAGCUCUAAGGACAGGCAAUAUACAUUGUGGAGGUAGUCCAUAUGGCAUUAAUUGCUAAAGCAGUCUUUAGCUAUAUGGGCUGGCCACAAGGAAAUAAAAUACAAUACUUUUUCAGUUCACUGUGUACAAAUGAAUAUAAAAUCUAAAGCAGUUGGUGCUGGUGCGUGAGCAGCCGAGCAGGUGUCCGUUGAAGUAGCCAUUGCUGCUGGGUGUUGGCUCUCCUUCUCCAUGCUCCUAUAAAACAGACCAACAAGAGAUUUCAGUUUGUAUCUCUUCAUUUCAUCAGGAGAUGGAUUCAUCCAACCAAAAAUUCAUAGAUCUUCUCAGUCAAGACUCUCCAAACCAUGCAGAAAAGCCUAGCCACAACUCCCCUCCCCAACAAUUCCCCAAUAAUUUUCCCCAAUCUCAGUUUACCCAAAGCUUCAACCCACAUUUUUUACACAAUUUCUAUCCAUUUCAUUCCCCAAGCAACUAUCCACCAUAUGGUCAUUCUCCUCCCAGCUUUCAAGGUACUCCUCCAAGCUUUCAAGGUAUUCCACAUCAAGGAAAUUGGGCACAACCUAAUUUAGCCAGCUUACAAGGUUUCCAUUUGCAAGAAAAUAUGGUGCACUCACCAAAUCAGGGGUUUGGAACUGCAAACCACCAAGCAAUAUUUGCACUGCAACACCCCUCAGUUAGAGCCACUCCCAACAGUUCUUUCCAUGGGUCGGAGUCAUCGACUCCCUGCCCUGCAAGACAACAAGAAGCGCCAGUUAAUCUCGAGUCGUCAAGUGAAAGCAGCGAAGACAGAGGUGAGGAGAGCAACACGCACCAAUUGGACAGAAGAGGAGAACUUACGGUUAAUUAGUGCUUGGUUGAGCAACUCGGUUGAUCCUACAGAUGGAAAUGACAAAAAGGGAGAGUAUUAUUGGAAGGAUGUGGCUGAUGAGUUCAAUAACAACCGUCCUACAAAUGGCCACAAGAGGACAGUCAAGCAAUUGAAGACACACUGGGGAAAUGUUAAGAAGGACAUUGGGAAGUUUUGUGGAGUUUAUGCUCAAGUUAGACGUACCUGUACCAGUGGACACUCUGAUGACAUGAUCAUGGAAAAAGCUCAUCUAUGGUACAAGAAUCAAUCAAAUCAGAAGAAGCCUUUCACCUUAGAGUAUAUGUGGAGAGAGCUCAAGGAUCAACCAAAAUGGCGAAGUAUUAUCAAAAAGGAAGAAAACAAGAACAAGAGGACUAAGAUUUCUGAGUCAGGAGCUUACACAUCCUCAUCAAACCAAGAGACUGAAGAAGAAUCAUCAAACAAAGAGAGACACCCCGAGGGACAGAAGAAAGCAAAAGAGAGAUUAAAAGGAAAAGGAAAAGGAAAAGCUCAAUCUUCUCCGUUGGGGAACCAGCCAUCUCAGAACAUAGUUUUGUACAACGAAGCUAUGAAAAUUAAAGCUGAAGCAUUAUUGAAAUCAGCAGAGGCAACAGCAAAAUCAGCAGAGGCAAAACGGGAACAAAUAAGGAUGGAAAAGUGGCAGGCAUACAUUAAACUGGAAGAAAAAGAUACCUCUAAUUUUAGUGGAGAAGCUGAGAAGGCAUGAAGCUAUGUUGAACAAAUUAUCUAAAGAACUAGCUGAGGAAUAAAGGAGAAGCAUGUUAUUGUUCCACUGUAGUGCUUAGUGUAUGAUAAGUUUAGUUGUCAAAUUUGGUGUAUUGCUGAUGUACUUGUCAUUUUCAGAAUUUAGCUCUAGUACUAAUGUAAAAGCUUAGUGUACGAUUAAUUUAGUUGGCAAAUUUUUGUGUAUUGUUGAUGUACUUGUCAAUUUCAGAAUUUAGCUCUAGUACUAAUGUAAAAGCUUUUACUAUAUCCCCACUUGUAUUAUGCAAGAAAUCACAUUUUUUACCGCACAUCUCUGCUCUUAAUAUUAUUUUUCAUUCAUGAGUCAUGAUAAUCUUCAUGAAUACAUUGCAGUACAGAAAAACCCAUACUUACAAGAUGUAGGGAUAAUUUUCUUCGCAAUUCAGUUAUUACUCCAUACCUGCACAUAUAACCAUAAUAAGAAAUAUAGAUGAUAAGCAAAACAUAGCUGUUGGAAUAGUGCCAAAAGGAAGAAAUAGUUGUCACAAACUAGCUGUUGGAAUGCUGCCAAAAGUAAAAAAUAGCUGUUGCAAACUAGCUGUUGGAAUGCUGCCAAAAGUAAAAUAUAGCUGUUGCAAACAAGCUGUUGGAAAUGUAUCCUACAUAUAAGAGAUGAAG
RNAcentral lists this long non-coding RNA (2315 nucleotides) under Oryza sativa (Asian cultivated rice). Its description in RNAcentral is "long non-coding RNA (OSAT_LNC000200)". Lineage: Eukaryota; Viridiplantae; Streptophyta; Magnoliopsida; Poales; Poaceae. The record is from RNAcentral.